This 655-nucleotide ribosomal RNA is filed under the name uncultured bacterium. RNAcentral's name for it is "bacterial SSU rRNA". It matches the Rfam family "Bacterial small subunit ribosomal RNA", at positions 9 to 650 of the family's 1533-position model. The record is from RNAcentral.
GAGUUUGAUCCUGGCUCAGGAUGAACGCUGGCGGCGUGCUUAACACAUGCAAGUCGAACGGGGCCACCAUUUUUGAAGCGAUUAGCUUGCUAAGAGUGGAAAUGUUGGCGGCUUAGUGGCGGACGGGUGAGUAACGCGUGGGUAACCUGCCAUAUACAGGGGGAUAACACUUAGAAAUAGGUGCUAAUACCGCAUAAGCGCACGGAGCUGCAUGGCUCAGUGUGAAAAACUCCGGUGGUAUAUGAUGGACCCGCGUCUAAUUAGCUUGUUGGCGGGGUAACGGCCCACCAAGGCGACGAUCAGUAGCCGGCCUGAGAGGGUGGACGGCCACAUUGGGACUGAGACACGGCCCAAACUCCUACGGGAGGCAGCAGUGGGGAAUAUUGGACAAUGGGGGGAACCCUGAUCCAGCGACGCCGCGUGAGUGAAGAAGUAUCUCGGUAUGUAAAGCUCUAUCAGCAGGGAAGAAAGAAAUGACGGUACCUGACCAAGAAGCCCCGGCUAACUACGUGCCAGCAGCCGCGGUAAUACGUAGGGGGCAAGCGUUAUCCGGAUUUACUAGGUGUAAAGGGAGCGUAGACGGUAAUGCAAGUCUGGAGUGAAAUGCAGGGGCUCAACCCCUGAACUGCUUUGGAAACUGUAUGACUGGAGUGCA